GAUGAACGCUGGCGGCGUGCCUAAUACAUGCAAGUCGAGCGAACAGACGAGGAGCUUGCUCCUCUGACGUUAGCGGCGGACGGGUGAGUAACACGUGGAUAACCUACCUAUAAGACUGGGAUAACUUCGGGAAACCGGAGCUAAUACCGGAUAAUAUAUUGAACCGCAUGGUUCAAUAGUGAAAGACGGUUUUGCUGUCACUUAUAGAUGGAUCCGCGCCGCAUUAGCUAGUUGGUAAGGUAACGGCUUACCAAGGCGACGAUGCGUAGCCGACCUGAGAGGGUGAUCGGCCACACGGGAAAUGAGACACGGUCCAGACGCCUACGGGAGGCAGAAGUAGGGAAUCUUGCGCAAUGGGCGAAAGCAUGACGAAGCAACGCAGCGUGAGUGAUGAAGGUAUUCGGAUCGUAAAACUCUGUUAUAAGGGAAGAACAAAUGUGUAAGUAACUAUGCACGGCUUGACGGUACCUAAUCAGAAAGCCAAGGCUAACUACGUG
This 497-nucleotide ribosomal RNA is filed under the name uncultured bacterium. RNAcentral's name for it is "partial 16S ribosomal RNA". It matches the Rfam family "Bacterial small subunit ribosomal RNA", at positions 28 to 507 of the family's 1533-position model. The record is from RNAcentral.